RNAcentral lists this ribosomal RNA (867 nucleotides) under Escherichia coli. RNAcentral describes it as "partial 23S ribosomal RNA". It matches the Rfam family "Bacterial large subunit ribosomal RNA", at positions 402 to 1268 of the family's 2925-position model. The record is from RNAcentral. Lineage: Bacteria; Pseudomonadati; Pseudomonadota; Gammaproteobacteria; Enterobacterales; Enterobacteriaceae.
AGCUCGAUGAGUAGGGCGGGACACGUGGUAUCCUGUCUGAAUAUGGGGGGACCAUCCUCCAAGGCUAAAUACUCCUGACUGACCGAUAGUGAACCAGUACCGUGAGGGAAAGGCGAAAAGAACCCCGGCGAGGGGAGUGAAAAAGAACCUGAAACCGUGUACGUACAAGCAGUGGGAGCACGCUUAGGCGUGUGACUGCGUACCUUUUGUAUAAUGGGUCAGCGACUUAUAUUCUGUAGCAAGGUUAACCGAAUAGGGGAGCCGAAGGGAAACCGAGUCUUAACUGGGCGUUAAGUUGCAGGGUAUAGACCCGAAACCCGGUGAUCUAGCCAUGGGCAGGUUGAAGGUUGGGUAACACUAACUGGAGGACCGAACCGACUAAUGUUGAAAAAUUAGCGGAUGACUUGUGGCUGGGGGUGAAAGGCCAAUCAAACCGGGAGAUAGCUGGUUCUCCCCGAAAGCUAUUUAGGUAGCGCCUCGUGAAUUCAUCUCCGGGGGUAGAGCACUGUUUCGGCAAGGGGGUCAUCCCGACUUACCAACCCGAUGCAAACUGCGAAUACCGGAGAAUGUUAUCACGGGAGACACACGGCGGGUGCUAACGUCCGUCGUGAAGAGGGAAACAACCCAGACCGCCAGCUAAGGUCCCAAAGUCAUGGUUAAGUGGGAAACGAUGUGGGAAGGCCCAGACAGCCAGGAUGUUGGCUUAGAAGCAGCCAUCAUUUAAAGAAAGCGUAAUAGCUCACUGGUCGAGUCGGCCUGCGCGGAAGAUGUAACGGGGCUAAACCAUGCACCGAAGCUGCGGCAGCGACGCUGAUGCGUUGUUGGGUAGGGGAGCGUUCUGUAAGCCUGCGAAGGUGUGCUGUGAGG